UCCCUGGGCAAGCUAGUUGCUGAGCUGCACAGAUCUUUGCAUUUUCUGGGCUGUUCCCGUGUUCCAUUCCUCCCCUUCCAGGACAAUAUUUGAACAAGACGUAUUUUACUAAAGGUCUCCUGGAUUGCUGGCUCUACGACAUCGCCUCAUAGAAGCACUCAAUGGUUUGUUCCAGAUUCAGGCUUGUUCCAGGAAGAAACCCUGACAGAAAUUCAGAAGAGCAGGAGCUGCAUUCAGUUAGGACAUGAAUACAUGAAAUGCUCCUCUCAUGACCUCCUAGAAGAAUGAGCUGGGGCCCACUUUCUGAGUCCUGCUGGAACCAGAGACCAAGCUGUACCUGUGACACAGGACACGAGAGAAUGUGCUCAUGUGAACACAAGUGAAGGACACUGUGGGGACUUGCCACACAGGUAAUUUUGGAUUUUUUCUCUU
RNAcentral lists this long non-coding RNA (432 nucleotides) under Felis catus (domestic cat). Its description in RNAcentral is "lncRNA (ENSFCAG00000050481.1)". The record is from RNAcentral. Lineage: Eukaryota; Metazoa; Chordata; Mammalia; Carnivora; Felidae.